GUGCGGCUCCGUGGUCGCUCGUCGUCUCCGAGGACCGAACGAAUAUUUUUAGAUAACGGCGCGAAUAAUUUAUUCGCGAGUUAGCAAUCGCGCGCACUUUGGCGAGCGGCGGCGGCGCAUGCGGGCCGACGGGCGCGCGACCGGCCAGACGCGCCCGUAGGUAAGCUGCGCACGUCCUGCGCGCCGCCAUGUUCGGCGGGAACGUCACUUCCGGCGGACGGAACCGAGCCCGUGGCCCGCGAGCGCUCAGGUCAAUGAGCGACGGCUCUCGAUUCAUAAAAUGUCGGUCGUUCCAUUCACGCCGCGGCGCGAUGCUACGCCGACCGCUCACUCGUGACCCUCGCGUCUUCGAAUAUUCAUGUCUCCAUCGAUAACAUCCUAACCUCUGACUUCUUUUUGUAUUAUCGGGUGUUGUUGUGCGAGCGCCGUCGGCGCACCGAGCCGCCGCCGCGCUGGGCCCGCGCCAACCGCCGACCGCCGAGCGCCGCGAACGCGAGUGUCGUUACGUCCACCGAGCGGUGUCCGCUUGCUGUGAAAUUAUGUGCAAAGUGACUUCAAUUGUGGUUUUGCGCUUUUUAUCAAUGGAUUUUACAUACGAUGGCGAGAUGGGGCUUAUCUCGAGGCGUCGAUCGGCGCGCCGGCCUGGGAACGUUACGCUCGCAGCUCGCAGGACCGUUAGUCGCAUUCCACCGCCGCUUCGUCGCCUCGUCGCCGCGCCGGCGCCGCAAAACCCUCGUGUCGUCACGUCACCGGGACGCGGUCGUGACACGCUAGACAAACACAUAUUCUGCACGGCCUGCAAACAACAAACGACGUGACAAAUGUUGUAUCCGAGAUAAAGAUCCCACAUAGAAAGGCGUAAAGAAGUGAGCGACGAACAAGUCAUCAACCACGGGCCCAGCUUCACCGCGGUCGCGCCGGGGAACACCGCGUCAACUUAGAGAGCACCGCGACCGCUGGUUCGCAGCGAGGCUACGACACGCGACCUGAGUCAGCAUGAUGUCAUGCGUGCGGGGCGCGAGGGGCGGCGACUAAUGGAGCAUCCCGGCAGCGUCACGUCACGUCCCAUUCCCGCCGCAUACUUCACCCAAUCGAGCGAUGACAAAUCCAUUCAUAUUCCUCUAUCCUAUUGUGCCCUCAUACUUGUUUAGACACUUACUCUAGUUCAUAAGCAAUGGUUAUCGUUGUCACAGCCACCAUUGUUUGAAUGAUUCUUUAUAAGUAUUAAGUCUCGCAAUGAAAUGAGACGAAGAAGCAACUCAAGAAGAGAGAAGAAAGAAGGAAUUACGAAACUGGUUUUCAUAAUGAUUUGACAGAUUGUUCAAAUUCUGAGAUCAUUGUGAAAGCUGUUUUUUUGUUCCUGUCUCAACAGAUGAAGAUACUAACGUGCGCUACGACAUGAAAACAACAAAAAAGAAACAUU
Molecule: long non-coding RNA, 1423 nt
Organism: Papilio xuthus (Asian swallowtail)
Lineage: Eukaryota; Metazoa; Arthropoda; Insecta; Lepidoptera; Papilionidae
Exons: 4
Source: RefSeq, a predicted model, not a curated record